Molecule: ribosomal RNA, 436 nt
Filed under: uncultured bacterium
Lineage: Bacteria
Description: bacterial SSU rRNA
Rfam family: Bacterial small subunit ribosomal RNA
Source: RNAcentral
ACCGAAUAGAUACCCGGGUAGUCCACGCCCUAAACGAUGCGAACUGGAUGUUGGGUACAUUACGGUACUCAGUGUCGAAAGCUAAACGCGUUAAGUUCGCCGCCUGGGGAGUACGGUCGCAAGACUGAAACUCAAAGGAAUUGACGGGGGCCCGCACAAGCGGUGGAGUAUGUGGUUUAAUUCGAUGCAACGCGAAGAACCUUACCUGGCCUUGACAUCUGUCGAAUCCUGCAGAGAUGCGGGAGUGCCGCAAGGAACGACAAGACAGGUGCUGCAUGGCUGUCGUCAGCUCGUGUCGUGAGAUGUUGGGUUAAGUCCCGCAACGAGCGCAACCCUUGUCCCUAGUUGCCAGCACGUAACGGUGGGAACUCUAGGGAGACUGCCGGUGACAAACCGGAGGAAGGUGGGGAUGACGUCAAGUCCUCAUGGCCCUUAC